GCACUACCAAUAUACUGAACUAUGACUUAAAUUAUUUGGCAAACUUCAUGAGUGAGUUGAGAUUGAAGGUUAUUACUGGCUAUUGAUGUGAUGGCACCUAUGAUGGCAAACUUCACGAGUGACCAAAUAUCAGGUGGACCAGGAUCUGAGGGCUUUGUUCUAUUUGUCGGUCACCCUUGCCUUGGCACUAGCCGUGCAAUGGAAGAGGGGUGUGGUUUUGGGUUUGGUUGUGCUUUCAAGAUCCGUUGAUGUUGUACCUGCUGUGGAACUUUGACGUGUCUAUUGUCUGUUGCCGUUCUUAGGGUCUGCUCUUCUCUGGACCACGGUUCAAUAGAAAUAACUCAUGCAUUGCUAAUUCCCUACUUGAAGGCUACUGCUGUGAAGGCACCUGUCAUGGAAAACUUCACGAGUGAGCAAAUAUCAGCACCCAUCCUCAUAGAACCAUCAUUAGAAUGAGCAAAGCGCCACUUCAUUUAGAGAAGAAAGGAAGGAGAAGAAUGGCUCUAUUCCUUGAUGCUGAAGUCCUUGAAGUAAUUACAUGAAGGUGAGGGAGUACAUUCCAAUCGCUUGCGCGGGAGAGGCUGUAUGCUCAUGCUAUUUGUUUCUUGGCUUUUGUGUUGUUGCUACCUGUAUCUGUUGUAUUACUAUGGUGGACUGUGAGAUGUAUGUCGCUGGUUGUGUCUA
Triticum urartu is the source of this 684-nucleotide non-coding RNA. Lineage: Eukaryota; Viridiplantae; Streptophyta; Magnoliopsida; Poales; Poaceae. The record is from RefSeq and is a predicted model, not a curated record.